GCCAGGUGUGGUGGCACAUGCCUGUAAUCCCAGCAGCUUCAGGAGGCUGAGGCAGGGGGAUAGCCAGUUCAGAGCCAGCCUCAA
RNAcentral lists this small RNA (84 nucleotides) under Marmota monax (woodchuck). Lineage: Eukaryota; Metazoa; Chordata; Mammalia; Rodentia; Sciuridae. The record is from RNAcentral.